UACGAAGGGGGCUAGCGUUGUUCGGAAUUACUGGGCGUAAAGCGCACGUAGGCGGAUAUUUAAGUCAGGGGUGAAAUCCCGGGGCUCAACCCCGGAACUGCCUUUGAUACUGGGUAUCUCGAGUCCGAGAGAGGUGAGUGGAAUUCCGAGUGUAGAGGUGAAAUUCGUAGAUAUUCGGAGGAACACCAGUGGCGAAGGCGGCUCACUGGCUCGGUACUGACGCUGAGACGCGAAAGCGUGGGGAGCGAACAGG
This 253-nucleotide ribosomal RNA is filed under the name uncultured bacterium. RNAcentral describes it as "partial 16S ribosomal RNA". It matches the Rfam family "Bacterial small subunit ribosomal RNA", at positions 524 to 776 of the family's 1533-position model. The record is from RNAcentral.